UGGCUCACCAAGGGGACGACGGGUAGCCGGCCUGAGAGGGUGACCGGCACACUGGGACUGAGACACGGCCCAGACUCUACGGGAGGCAGCAGUGGGGAAUAUUGCACAAUGGGCGGAAGCUGAUGCAGCGACGCCGCGUGAGGGAUGACGGCUUCGGGUUGUAAACCUCUUUCAGUAGGGAAGAAGCGAGAGUGACGGUACCUGCAGAAGAAGCGCCGGCUAACUACGUGCCAGCAGCCGCGGUAAUACGUAGGGCGCAAGCGUUGUCCGGAAUUAUUGGGCGUAAAGAGCUCGUAGGCGGUUUGUCGCGUCUGCUGUGAAAGCCCGGGGCUCAACCCCGGGUCUGCAGUGGGUACGGGCAGACUAGAGUGCAGUAGGGGAGACUGGAAUUCCUGGUGUAGCGGUGAAAUGCGCAGAUAUCAGGAGGAACACCGAUGGCGAAGGCAGGUCUCUGGGCUGUUACUGACGCUGAGGAGCGAAAGCAUGGGGAGCGAACAGGAUUAGAUACCCUGGUAGUCCAUGCCGUAAACGUUGGGCACUAGGUGUGGGGGACAUUCCACGUUUUCCGCGCCGUAGCUAACGCAUUAAGUGCCCCGCCUGGGGAGUACGGCCGCAAGGCUAAAACUCAAAGGAAUUGACGGGGGCCCGCACAAGCGGCGGAGCAUGCGGAUUAAUUCGAUGCAACGCGAAGAACCUUACCAAGGCUUGACAUUCACCGGACCGCCCCAGAGAUGGGGUUUCCCUUCGGGGCUGGUGGACAGGUGGUGCAUGGUGUCGUCGAAGCUCGUGAUCGCGAGAUGAG
This 802-nucleotide ribosomal RNA is filed under the name Kocuria rosea. RNAcentral's name for it is "bacterial SSU rRNA". It matches the Rfam family "Bacterial small subunit ribosomal RNA", at positions 261 to 1076 of the family's 1533-position model. The record is from RNAcentral. Lineage: Bacteria; Bacillati; Actinomycetota; Actinomycetes; Micrococcales; Micrococcaceae.